GGCGUGUUGGCGGAGUGGUUAUCGCGUUAGACUUGAAAUCUAAUUCCUUCGGGAGCGUCUGUUCGAAUCAGGCACACGUCG
Cercophora sp. LCS_1 is the source of this 81-nucleotide non-coding RNA. NCBI's taxonomy places the organism in Eukaryota, Fungi, Ascomycota, Sordariomycetes, Sordariales, Lasiosphaeriaceae. The record is from the annotation of a GenBank genome assembly.